Molecule: small RNA, 4279 nt
Filed under: Pongo abelii (Sumatran orangutan)
Lineage: Eukaryota; Metazoa; Chordata; Mammalia; Primates; Hominidae
Description: retained intron
Source: RNAcentral
UUUUCAUGAAUUAAGUAAUUGCCACCUAAAAAAUAACAGAAGAGAGUAUGAAAACAAAAAAAAUCCAUGUCUUUUAAAAUGUCUUUUACCAUGUUGCUUCUUGGCAGGUAUCUUAUAAAUAUUCCAAGUCAGAUGUUAAAAUUUUUUAAAGCAGCUUUAUAUUUCCAUAGUGUAAUAUUAGUUUGGGAUUUAUUUCAGGGCUUUAAUGUCUGUCUUUACUUGUCUAGAAGUAGCUUCACUGGCUCCUAACUACUGCCCUGGGGCAGAUUCAGAUGAAAUGUGGUAUGUAGCCACACCCAAUACUGUUGGCAUACUUUCAUUGAAUCUAUUCCCAUGGAAGAAACCCAGUUGCAAUUUCAGUAUUAUUUCAUCAAAGAGGCCAGGCCAGAGCUAUCAUAACUGCUUUCAUAUCGUGUUUCCUUUUUAUUAUGUCAUGUUUUAUAUCAUAUGUUUGCUUUCUACAUACUUGUUCCUCAAUUGCUUGUGCUUAUAUAAAUUUAUAAUGCUAUUGAAUAAACAAAACAAUAAAUAGUGAUGGGAUCAUUUUAUAUGGAUGUAAUAUUUUCUGAAGAGCCAAACAAAUUGAAUAAGUAACUUUACUCCAAAUUUUAAUGAGCUAUUAAAUUUUAUUUAAAUCGCUUUUCCUUUCUACCCAAAAGUAAUCAUCUUAAGUGUUUUUCCAGUGUCUGAGAACAUUAGUGGGACAUACAGGUGGAGUAUGGUCAUCACAAAUGAGAGACAACAUCAUCAUUAGUGGAUCUACAGAUCGGACUCUCAAAGUGUGGAAUGCAGAGACUGGAGAAUGUAUACACACCUUAUAUGGGCAUACUUCCACUGUGCGUUGUAUGCAUCUUCAUGAAAAAAGAGUUGUUAGCGGUUCUCGAGAUGCCACUCUUAGGGUUUGGGAUAUUGAGACAGGCCAGUGUUUACAUGUUUUGAUGGGUCAUGUUGCAGCAGUCCGCUGUGUUCAAUAUGAUGGCAGGAGGGUUGUUAGUGGAGCAUAUGAUUUUAUGGUAAAGGUGUGGGAUCCAGAGACUGAAACCUGUCUACACACGUUGCAGGGGCAUACUAAUAGAGUCUAUUCAUUACAGGUAAGAUCUCUUAUCUCUCCCUUAAAUGCUCUCCUGAUGAAUCAUAAGGUUGUUUUACUCAGAUAAUCACUGUCAAAUUGCUGAUCCAGUACAGUCCAAAAAAGAUUAAUCAGAUUAUUCUGUGCUGUUUUUAUAUACGUUAAAAUUGGCAUGAAGAAAGUGUAAAUUUCAAAAUUAUUUAAAUGCUUUCGAUUUUCUGUGAUCUAUUUUUCCUCUAAAUACAAAUAUUUGUUUUGCAACCUGACACUUUGGGGCUCUAAGUUUUGCUAUGUUAAUUAAUGGUUAAAUAGUCUCAUAGGAGAGUAACCUGGAUUUUAAGAAACUCCUUUGCAGAAGAUUAAUAUGGCCAAAAGCUGCCCCUUUGCUUUGAUAGCUGAAAGUUGAUGGACCAUGUAAUUGUGAUUCCAUCCCCAUUCAAAGUGGAAAUAGAUCCUUUUUGCAUAAAGCACUCUACUGUCCCAGGCCCACUGAUUUGUAGUCAUAAAGAAGUAAAGUUGACUAAACUGAUUUCUUUUUUUUGGUUUAUAUUUCAAGCCCAUAUCCUUGAAAACAUUGCCAUAUUUUGACAUCAUUAACUAGAUGAACAGGAAGUUUAGAAUAUGAAUCUUGUUUUAUUUCCAGAAAGGCAACAUUUUCAGUGUAAAAAUAUUUCCUAUAGCUUAUAUAGUUUAUUUACCAGUUAUUGCCCAUUAAUGUUCAGCAAAUUAAUACAUAAUCUUAGUACUGUCAAUUCUGUUCUUAGGAUAUUUGUUUCUUUAUCGAAGGGAUAUUGUCCAUGUCAUGAAAUAUUGACAGUAUGAUAAAAAUGUUUGCUAAAUUAGAAAAGGUGAUGAAUUUGGAGGAAGGGGAAUUGGCUGCACCUGUUUGUGAUAUGUUCAGAAGCUUAAUGAAUAUAAUAUUCUAAUUUAAAUAAACCAUUUGAUUGAGAAAAGAGGUAGCCACAUUAUUAUAUAGAAAUGAUAGACUGUUAUUGACUUUUGGUGUAGCUGGGAAGCUGGAGAAGAGGUAGUAUGUAGUUUGCUUUUGAUAUCAAAAUGCCACCUCUUCUGAUUCCAGAUACAAUUAUCUUUUGGCACAUUUCCUAAUUAGCAUUAGGUUCUUAUAAAUGAAAUUUUAUUUUACACACAGUUUUUAAUGGAACUUACUUUUGAACAUUACGAAAGUUAUCUCUAGCCCUUUUGAUGCCUUAGGUGUUGAUAAGCAUUCCAUUAAUCAUAAGCUAUGUCAGUCUCAGCUUCCUAGUGGGAAGUAAAACUCAAAUAGCAGUUCUUUCAGUCAUCCAUGAUAUAUAGCUAGGUGGGGCCAGAUUAUUUGAAAAUUAACAUAUUGUUCAUUUUAGGUGCUUUGUUUUCAUUUUAAGUUGUUUCUGCAUCUACUUUGAAGCUGCUUGACAUAAAGAUGAGCCUUUCUGAUAGAAGUGUGUGAGAAGAUAACAUUGUAGAGUUGCUUGAUAGCAUGCACUUUAUCCUCAUUGCCACUUUAUCUUAGUACCUCAUUUUGUUCCUGGCAUUACCUGUUUCCCAUCCUCUUCCCCUUUCCUACUAGGAUUAAGGUCAGUAAUUGAUAGGGAGAGUAUCCAUACUUCUAUUCUAAUAAACUGUGUCUUUUGUAGUUUGAUGGUAUCCAUGUGGUGAGUGGAUCUCUUGAUACAUCAAUCCGUGUUUGGGAUGUGGAGACAGGGAAUUGCAUUCACACGUUAACAGGGCACCAGUCGUUAACAAGUGGAAUGGAACUCAAAGACAAUAUUCUUGUCUCUGGGAAUGCAGAUUCUACAGUUAAAAUCUGGGAUAUCAAAACAGGACAGUGUUUACAAACAUUGCAAGGUAAGUAUUAGUUACCUUUCAUUUUGUUCAUUAAAAAUGAGUUCAUUAUUCAAGAGAAAUAUGGAGCUUUAGCAUCACAAAAAGAGUCAACCUCAUACAGAAUGGUUACUUCAGAAAAGUUUAUGAAUAUUUUCACCCUGACUUACAGAACUAGUCUACUCUUGAGGAAAUGUUUUAAACUGUGUUUUUAAUAUGUAAUAUAAAAUUGUUUAAUCACUUCCUGCAUGUUCAAUUGACUGUACUUAACCUUUAAGAACAGUGAGAAGAAAGAUCUUGGCUAUAUCAUAGAAGCAACAUACUCAUUAUAUUUUUUGAUUGACCAUUGCAUUUUGAAUUUGUAGUCCAAUUUUAAAGGGCUGCCUUAUUGAAAAAAACAAAAGCAUCCUUGAUAGAAAAUUUCUUUGGCCUCUGCUUAGUCACGUGCUUAACUGGAAUGGAGAGGAAUAAUAGUGCCUACUAAAAUAGAGAAAGAAACAAGUGAAAAUCACUAAUAUUAGAUGAGGUACAGCAGUGCCUCAUGAUUAACUUUUUCUAUUUGUUAUAGCCCUUAGAAAGUGUUUUUUUCGGUGCGGCCAUCUGAUAUGCAACAUUGUAGCUUUUUACUCAUUGGUUUUGUCUCUCCUCAGAGUUUUGGAAUAGUGACCAUUCAGCUUUGAGUGGUUCAUAGUGGUGGGGUAAUAGAUCUCUUAGUGCUCAUUUGUCCAUCAGCAGAAGGUACGAAGUUGCACUAUCUGCAUCCUCACCAAGGAAUGCUGUCGUUCACACAGCCAGAAAAUAAGAUAUUUGUCUGGUAGCUAACCAAGCUUCUUGGAAGACAGACCUCUUGAAAGUUAAUGUUUCAGUUACAAAUCACUACCAGAUUUUCUUACAUCCAUGCUGAUCCUAAAAUACUGAGGACAUGGGUUUCUAAAUAUGUAUCAUUUCAAAUGUUGCAUUUAUUGUAUGUUCUAAAGUAGAAGUCUACAAAUUAUAAUGUAACUAACCCGUAGCCAUUAUUUCUAACCAGUAAUUAAAUUCUUUUGGUUUUUGUCUAGGUCCCAACAAGCAUCAGAGUGCUGUGACCUGUUUACAGUUCAACAAGAACUUUGUAAUUACCAGCUCAGAUGAUGGAACUGUAAAACUAUGGGACUUGAAAACGGGUGAAUUUAUUCGAAACCUAGUCACAUUGGAGAGUGGGGGGAGUGGGGGAGUUGUGUGGCGGAUCAGAGCCUCAAACACAAAGCUGGUGUGUGCAGUUGGGAGUCGGAAUGGGACUGAAGAAACCAAGCUGCUGGUGCUGGACUUUGAUGUGGACAUGAAGUGAAGAGCAGAAAAGAUGAAUUUGUCCAAUUGUGUAGACGAUAUACUCCCUGCCCUUCCCCCUGC